UCGUCAUAUGCUUGUCACAAAGAUUAAGCCAUGCAUGUCUAAGUAUAAACUAAUUUAUACGGUGAAACUGCGAAUGGCUCAUUAAAUCAGUUAUAGUCUACUUGAUCGUACAAUUUUUCUUACUUGGAUAACCGUAGGAAAUCUAGGGCUAAUACAUGCUAAAAACACUGACUAUCAGGGGAAACUCUGGUUCGGAAGGUGUGAAUUUAUUAGAUUAAAAACCAAUGUGGGGUUCGCUCCACUCUUUCCUAGACGAUUCAUGAUAACGCAUCGAAUC
RNAcentral lists this ribosomal RNA (277 nucleotides) under uncultured eukaryote. RNAcentral describes it as "partial 18S ribosomal RNA". It matches the Rfam family "Eukaryotic small subunit ribosomal RNA", at positions 21 to 270 of the family's 1831-position model. The record is from RNAcentral.